Molecule: ribosomal RNA, 350 nt
Filed under: uncultured fungus
Lineage: Eukaryota; Fungi
Description: SSU rRNA
Rfam family: Eukaryotic small subunit ribosomal RNA
Source: RNAcentral
CGAUAACGAACGAGACCUUAACCUGCUAAAUAGUUGCGUCCACUUUGGUGGUCGAUCAACUUCUUAGAGGGACUAUGGAUGUUUAAUUCAUGGAAGUUUGAGGCAAUAACAGGUCUGUGAUGCCCUUAGAUGUUCUGGGCCGCACGCGCGCUACACUGACGAAGGCAACAAGUAUUCACCUUGACCGGAAGGUCUGGGUAAUCUUUUGAAACUUUGUCGUGCUGGGGAUAGUCCCUUGCAAUUAUUGGACUUUAACGAGGAAUUCCUAGUAAGUGCAAGUCAUCAGCUUGCGUCGAUUACGUCCCUGCCCUUUGUACACACCGCCCGUCGCUACUACCGGAUUGAAUGGC